Molecule: ribosomal RNA, 460 nt
Filed under: uncultured bacterium
Lineage: Bacteria
Description: partial 16S ribosomal RNA
Rfam family: Bacterial small subunit ribosomal RNA
Source: RNAcentral
CCUACGGGGGGCAGCAGUGAGGAAUAUUGGUCAAUGGACGCAAGUCUGAACCAGCCAUGCCGCGUGAAGGAAGACGGCUCUAUGAGUUGUAAACUGCUUUUGUACGAGGGUAAAUCCCGAUACGUGUAUCGGGUUGAAAGUAUCGUACGAAUAAGGAUCGGCUAACUCCGUGCCAGCAGCCGCGGUAAUACGGAGGAUUCGAGCGUGAUCCGGAUUUAUUGGGUUUAAAGGGAGCGUAGGUGGUUCGAUAAGUUAGUUGUGAAAUCCCGGGGCUCAACUCCGGCACUGCCACUGAUACUGGCGGGCUAGAGUACAGUUGCGGUAGGCGGAAUUGAUGGUGUAGCGGUGAAAUGCAUAGAGAUCACACAGAACACCGAUUGCGAAGGCAGCUUACCAAACUACGACUGACGUUGAGGCACGAAAGCGUGGGGAUCAAACAGGAUUAGAUACCCGGGUAGUA